This 253-nucleotide ribosomal RNA is filed under the name uncultured bacterium. RNAcentral's name for it is "partial 16S ribosomal RNA". It matches the Rfam family "Bacterial small subunit ribosomal RNA", at positions 524 to 776 of the family's 1533-position model. The record is from RNAcentral.
UACGUAGGUGGCAAGCGUUGUCCGGAUUUACUGGGCGUAAAGGGCGUGCAGGCGGUUUGUUAAGUGCAGGGUGAAAGCUCCCGGCUCAACUGGGAGAGGUCCUUGCAUACUGGCGAACUCGAGGGAGGCAGAGGAAAGUGGAAUUCCCGGUGUAGUGGUGAUAUGCGUAGAUAUCAGGAGGAACACCGGUGGCGAAGGCGGGUCUCUGGGCCGAUACUGACGCUAAGGAGCGAAAGCGUGGGGAGCGAACAGG